AACCACAAAACAGUGCGCCUUAGUUGAACAUGCCGUGGAGAUUUAAUUUUUUGGCAAUAAUGUUUUGUUCUUCUUUGAGGAUGAUCCGAAGUAGUAGUUUUUGUUACCAUCUCCUGCGUGUCUUUGACAGUAAGGAAGCAUUUGUGUGGCUGCCUCCGGAUGGAUGAAUGAGUGACCCUGAUAAAGCUCUAUGGGCCAUUUUGAACUGUUAGAACAAACCUGAUCUUUUCACCUUCAGUGUUACCCAUUUUUGUGAAAGUUUUUUUAUAUGUGUGUACAAUUCACCCAUAUAAACAACGUUUAUAUGUGCCACAUUUUGUCUUGUGGAGCUGUCAAAAACGGCCUGGAGAGAGAGUCGUGAUCGAGACAGAUUAGGUUUAUCAGCUCACCUUGAAUUCUGAGGAGGGUCAGCCCUAGUCCUGUAGCUUGUAUUCUUACUCAAAUCCUUCUAUAAUAGCUGGGUUUGGUAAUAAAAGUUCAGGGAGCAACUAAGAAUACCGUUGCCUUCUCUUUCUGUCCGAAGUCUCCAGAGCAAGUAUGAUGAGAAACUCUUCCACAAUUUCUUGAAAAGUAAGUAUUUCUGAGGUAUUUAAAUAAAGGAAAUUUUGCUGACUCACUUUUUGCAAUAGAAAUAGCUCUUGAGGUGGGAUUUGGCUGAGGAAAUGUGAUCAUAUGGUUGACCUUGGGGGAGAUGUUGAGUCACAUUUGAACAAUACAUGAAAAAGGGAAAGGAGAAAACAAACAGCCACCAAGGCCUGUUACGUUUUUGCAAUAUUGCAUCCUGUGUAUGAAGAUGCUAAUCUGGCCCUUCUAAAAUCGCUGGUAUUAGCAAGGAUGAAAAAAAGAUAAUCCACAUUUUGGAUAUGAUGACAUAAACCUGACUUAAAAAUGGAAGACGUUACUCAUGUAAAGAUGGAAGAUAUUACAUCAUCUUCAAAGAAUGGGAAGACAUUUUAGUAAAACUUUCAAGAUUUCUAAAGAGCAUUCCAGUAAGGAGCAAUGACCAUUCCUAUCAGCAUGAUUAAAUCAAAGCAACUUUUUUAUUUAAGGGACGAAGUUAUUAAUGGAUUGCACUAGUCACCUGGAAAAUUGCUGCUGAACUUUCAUCCAUUACACUAUGUGGCCUAUCUUUUCUGAGAGAAAACUGAAGUAUAAAUCUUUUUGAAAGAUUAAACAUGUUGUUAGCAAUUUUGUUGAUCUGUUAUGGUCUCUGAAGCUUUGGGGAUAGUUCAGUGCAAAAUAAAUACCAGCAAACUCAUCACUUCAAAAUGUAUUAAUAUUUAUAAUAAUGUUUAAAACUACCUUUCAGUAGUGCUUUCUACUCUGCUAAAGACCUGUAAAUAUCCCUCUCUGUACUGACUAGAAACUUGUUGGUAUUUGCUUCUGCAAGUAGCUCAGGCUUUUGUAUCUUCUUUUUUUUAAUACCCAAAAUAAGAUUCUUCAUAGUCUGGAUUUUAAAACCAUGGAUACUCUGCUUCAUGAAAAUUGGCCCACUCUUACAUGUCUCACGCUAAGCAUGCUUGAAGAGGUCUGCCUGUUUUAGUGCAAUGUAACUGCUAAGAUAACUGGCUCAAAAUCUGUUAUUGUACAUCUAUGAACUUGGGAAUCACAAGCUUAUAUAAGUUGAAGGGAAGUGGGAUAGGAAAGGAGACUUUCUUGGGACAGAAAAUCAGUAACAUUUAUAGAGCAAGAUAAGAAACACUGACUUGGAAGCUUUGACUUCAAAAAAUAGGUAGUUUUUCUAGCUUUUCAGUGGUAUGAGACUUCAGCAUUUGUCUCUGUAUCUGCUUGGGAGGUGUUUAAUAAAAAAAAAAAAGCAAACCAUUUAUCUUGAUGAAAGAGUAGUUUAUUGUGGUUUAGUUUGAACCUCUCAUUUUACUAAUUUUCACUGAUUUAUAAACAGUGACAGCCUGUAAAUCAAAGGCAGAGUAUCCAUACAAACUUUUAUUCCUAUUUAAAAACAGUAAAAAAUAAAAAAUCGUAUUUUUGGUCAUAUUGUUGAAAUCCUUAUACAUAGCAAGUCUGAACUGUUAAAGAAAGUAGAUUCCAGGAGUGAAAUAAUUUAAAA
Molecule: long non-coding RNA, 2068 nt
Filed under: Catharus ustulatus (Swainson's thrush)
Lineage: Eukaryota; Metazoa; Chordata; Aves; Passeriformes; Turdidae
Description: lncRNA (ENSCUSG00005015051.1)
Source: RNAcentral